GAUGAACGCUGGCGGCGUGCCUAAUACAUGCAAGUUGAGCGAACAGACGAGGAGCUUGCUCCUCUGACGUUAGCGGCGGACGGGUGAGUAACACGUGGAUAACCUACCUAUAAGACUGGGAUAACUUCGGGAAACCGGAGCUAAUACCGGAUAAUAUAUUGAACCGCAUGGUUCAAUAGUGAAAGACGGUUUUGCUGUCACUUAUAGAUGGAUCCGCGCCGCAUUAGCUAGUUGGUAAGGUAACGGCUUACCAAGGCAACGAUGCGUAGCCGACCUGAGAGGGUGAUCGGCCACACUGGAACUGAGACACGGUCCAGACUCCUACGGGAGGCAGCAGUAGGGAAUCUUCCGCAAUGGGCGAAAGCCUGACGGAGCAACGCCGUGUGAGUGAUGAAGGUCUUCGGAUCGUAAAACUCUGUUAUUAGGGAAGAACAAAUGUGUAAGUAACUAUGCACGUCUUGACGGUACCUAAUCAGAAAGCCACGGCUAACUACGUG
This 497-nucleotide ribosomal RNA is filed under the name uncultured bacterium. RNAcentral describes it as "partial 16S ribosomal RNA". It matches the Rfam family "Bacterial small subunit ribosomal RNA", at positions 28 to 507 of the family's 1533-position model. The record is from RNAcentral.